This 73-nucleotide transfer RNA is filed under the name Pseudomonadota bacterium. Its description in RNAcentral is "tRNA-Thr". It matches the Rfam family "tRNA". Rfam says of the family: Transfer RNA (tRNA) molecules are approximately 80 nucleotides in length. Their secondary structure includes four short double-helical elements and three loops (D, anti-codon, and T loops). RNAcentral also lists the same sequence under 7 other names. Lineage: Bacteria; Pseudomonadati; Pseudomonadota. The record is from RNAcentral.
GCCCAUAUAGCUCAGUAGGUAGAGCACUUCCAUGGUAAGGAAGGGGUCGGCGGUUCAAUCCCGCCUGUGGGCU